This 63-nucleotide transfer RNA is filed under the name Bradyrhizobium japonicum. Its description in RNAcentral is "tRNA-Gly". The record is from RNAcentral. Lineage: Bacteria; Pseudomonadati; Pseudomonadota; Alphaproteobacteria; Hyphomicrobiales; Nitrobacteraceae. RNAcentral also lists the same sequence under 5 other names.
UGCUUGAGUUCGAGGCAGCAUCAGCCUUCCAAGCUGAAUACGAGGGUUCGAUUCCGUUCAUAC